RNAcentral lists this ribosomal RNA (473 nucleotides) under uncultured bacterium. RNAcentral describes it as "SSU rRNA". It matches the Rfam family "Bacterial small subunit ribosomal RNA", at positions 26 to 518 of the family's 1533-position model. The record is from RNAcentral.
AGAAUGAACGUUGGCGGCGUGGAUUAGGCAUGCAAGUCGAACGGGCUUAGUCUUCGGACUAGGUCAGUGGCGUAAGGGUGAGUAAGGCGACGGCAACCAACCCCAUGGUUGGGCAUAGCCGAGGGAAACUUCGGGUAAUACCGGGAGACAUCACCGCGAGGCAUCUCGUGGUGCUCAAAGGCGAAAGCCGCAAAAGGGGAGCGGGGCGAUAUCGGUAUCAGCUUGUUGGCGGGUAAUGGCCCACCAAGGCGACGAUCGUUAGCUGGUCUGAGAGGAUGAUCAGCCACACUGGGACUGAGACACGGCCCAGACUCCUACGGGAGGCAGCAGUGGGGAAUAUUGGACAAUGGCGCAAGCCUGAUCCAGCAAUGCCGCGUGAGUGAAGAAGGUCUUCGGAUUGUAAAGCUCUUUCGACGGGACGAUGAUGACGGUACCCGUAGAAGAGCCCGGCUAACUUCGUAGCCAGCAGCCGC